Molecule: long non-coding RNA, 1158 nt
Organism: Cercocebus atys (sooty mangabey)
Lineage: Eukaryota; Metazoa; Chordata; Mammalia; Primates; Cercopithecidae
Exons: 4
Source: RefSeq, a predicted model, not a curated record
GUGAGCUGGAGAGGGGAGGACUAGGUGUGGGAAACAGUGAAUACUGAGUCAGAGUGAAAAAAGAGUCUUCAAGUGUCCUCCCCAGUGAGGAGACCUCCGCAGAAUGCCCCGAUGAUGAGACCUCCUCUCUCUGAAUGCAGGGAGGGCUGGAGAUGCAGAUAUGCAUAAGCGCAUGGUGCUGAGGAUGGAGUGACUGAGUCCUUGACUGCAGCUCCCUUCAGAGAUUGCAGUUUCCUGGUUGCACACAGUCUGGUGUGGGGAGGACAACUUUUCCCUGUGAAGCCUGCCAGGAUAUAAAGAUGUUUAAUUGGAUAACCUUAUUCAUUCAGCUGUGAUCUGCGGAAGGAUCUGAACAGCCAGUAAUAUGGUUAUGUUCAUUCUGAAUAAAUUAAUGAUGCUGAAGAGUCAAGAUUGAGAUUGCAACCAGAUACCUGUGCUGAGAUGUCUAUGCAGAAGAGUCUGAGGUUAGCCUCCCGGAGUUUCGGGGAAAAGCACACAGGCAUUCCUGAACACUCUGAGAGGUGAAGAAAAGUGGCUGAGCAGACAGACGCGAGGUCUGGCAUGGAGGCAGAGGAUCACAGCGGAGCAUGGACCUAACAGCUGGAUACUGUGUGGGGAUAUCACUAUCAGCAGAAGAUGCAACAAGACCGGGCCAGCGCUCAAGGCCAGAGAGAGAGGUUUGCAGGGGCCAGUGGGGCAGCGAUGAGCAUAGAAGACAGUCUUCUCCACUUUGAUAACAAAGCAAUGUGAAAGGCACCUGAGAAACCCAGAUUACAACCAGGGAGAAGAAAAUCAGAGAUACAAGGUGGGAUGCAUCCUGAAUUGGUAGAGUAGAUACGCCAGAGUGUUCUACCAGAGUUGACAGAAUUACCUUGAAUAAAUAAGAGGAAGGUAUUUUAUUACCAAGAGUCUCAUGGGCUAAGUUUAAAUACAGAGGAAUAAAGUUACAUCUUUACACAGUUGGGUGUGUGACAAUGUAAAAUGUCAACAUUAUACUUCCCAAUGGACUAUACCAUGCAGAAGGGAGAAAGAAGUCAAAAGCCUGUUCUUUUUUUUUUUUCUGUUCCACAGUAAAUAGCAGAAAUUAUUCCCUUUGUUAAUCUAAGCAUACACCAGUCUGUAGGUUCAUAAUGAGAAAUAACUUUUUGAUUUUUUUAA